RNAcentral lists this unclassified non-coding RNA (754 nucleotides) under Hevea brasiliensis (rubber tree). Lineage: Eukaryota; Viridiplantae; Streptophyta; Magnoliopsida; Malpighiales; Euphorbiaceae. The record is from RNAcentral.
AUCUGAGAUUUCUUUUCCUUCUUUCUCAGAAAUUUCUUCCCUUCCUUUCCCUUCUAUUUCUUGCUUUAUUUCUUCUUCUCGACAGAACCCUAUUCUUUUUCUUCAUCCUUUCUUCUUGAAAUUCCAAGAAUUACUUGAAACAAAAUCUCUUUUUCCUUUAAUUUUUCUAUUUCUCAUCCUCUUUAUAUCUCUUUCUUAGUCUGAUUUCUUUAAUUUCUCUUUAGUCCUCUUCCCAAUUCUUCUUUCUUAAUCUGUUAGGGUUACAAAUUUAGAUAAAUACUCUAGCAUUUCCCUUUCCCUUAAUUCUUUCCAUUUCUAGCUCUGAAACUCUAUUUUAGGUUCUGGAAAUAAUUCCUUCGUUCAAACCCUAUUCUUCAAAGUCUUGACUCUUACUAACCUUUCUUUCCUUGUUCCUAUAUUUUUUUAUUAUGGAUGAGCAAUUUUGGGAACAAAAGUUAAGGGAUUUGGAACAAGGCAUUUGUGUUGAUGGGGCAUUUAAAAGAUAUGAGGAAAGGCUGGAUAAAAGAUGGGAGAAGUGGGAGUAUCGUUUCAAGAGAAAAUGAAGAACUUUGAAAUAGAGGAGCAAAUGCCCAUUAAUGAUGUGGACAUAGCAAAAGAGGACCACAAUGUAGAAAAGUUUGAUGUGCAAAUAUCAAACUUAGAUGAGGAACAAGUGGAAAUUCAUGCUUCACUUACCAUUGAUGAAGAAAAUUCAAAAUUGGCUUGUAGCUAAGAGGUGGAUGUUAAGGCUCAU